AAUAUUUUUACCGUCGUUAUUUUUUAAUCAUAGUUACCUCGACAUUAAAUUAAAGUAUUUAAAAAUAACACCUAAACCAAAUGAGAUGAAUAAGGGUGUAUUGGAAAUAAAAGAGGUGAAGUCCCAAAAUAGCAAACUACAGAAGCCCGAAGGAGACCUUAAAAAACCUCAAAGAUUCAGAAUGGGCCCUAAGGCCCAAACACUUCCCGCAAUAAUAACAAAAAAAAAGAAACAAAAAAAGAGUCAGCGUGGGCCCUAAGCCCAACCUCUCCCUAGCCCAACAAGAGCUGUAACCAGCGAACUAGACGAAGAAACCUAAGGGCAGCUUGUGCCAUUUCGUCUUCUCAAAGCACCCACGUGGCAAGGCAAGGGAAAGUCAUACAAUGGAACAUCAGAAAGGAUCACAUGACCCUUUUUGGAUUCUCCACUGUUGGCCAUUAAAACAACGUUAAUGCCAAUAAAGCUAAACUUUGAAAAGAUAAACUGUACAUGCUUUGUCCAACCCAGGUCUUAUAAAUCCAAUAACCAAAUUUAAUGGACUUUAUGGGGAAUAAAAAAAACUCUACUUAAAUCAACAUAUGCAUUGUAACGGAUCCUUCCUUCCACCUUAAACACACACCCUGAACUUUUAAGCUAAAAAAAAUAAGAAAGCAAAAAGAAGAAAGAAGGCGAUGAACCCCACUCUUCGGUGUUCACCCUUACGCAACCUUCGAUUCACAAAAAUUCAACUACCUAAUUCCCAAAACAACAUCGAAUGCCAGCCUAUCCUAUUUCUAAAUCCCGAUCCGAUUCCUCCGCACCCUAUUCUCGCCGUAACGGAUGUGAGGUUCAGGUAACCAAGGUAUAAAAGCUUCUAAUGCCACUUUUUAUAUCCACCACCAAUAACCAAGAAAUUGACAAAUCAAAACAGAAGCAACAAAUCUAUGCAAAUGCUAUGACGUUUGAAACAAACAGAGAAGAUGAUUCGCACAACUAUUGACGCAUAUCCAUUGGCCGCGAGUAUACCUGGACCUUGGAUGUGACACACUCUUGCGACAAUCAUACGACCUGAGGUGCCACAGUUGUUAUAGUCUUGCCGUGGAGAACAUUUUGUAGAUAUAGAUAUGAGUGUGGUCGAAUCGUGCAAUGUUUGAUGUGCCAGAUUUUUCCCCUCUACGCCUUGAUGAUAGAAUUGGUCCAACCCUUCACAGGUUGUGGUAGCAUCCUAAACUUUUCGAAAUAUCCUCUCCGUGAUCGUUACGCUGCAGGUUUCUGUUUUACAACCGGCACAACUUGCUAUGUUCAACCUUCGUCUUCAUCGGGCCACUUUUGUUGGUAAUGUGUAGCGACUUGAGUUAUGUUAUCGAGUCAUUUGACCAUGCUCAAUCACGUAUUUGCAUCUCGAUUUGUUGUGUGUUGAUACUAAUUUAAAAUAAGAAACUCUCCAAACCAAUUGUGAUGUUAUUAGGAUUUAUGGAUUAUCUUGUACAUCAUCAAUUCUUGCUUGUAACAAACCAAUAUCCACGAGUAGUGCUAUUAGAUUUAUGGAUAUAAUUCCGUAAUAAAACUUGCUAAUGGUUUGGAUCUAGUCUUGUAGGUUAUGCAUCUGCUAGUACUUUCACUUGGCCGGAUAAUCCCGUCAACUUGUCCACUCUUUAAUCCAUGAUGCUUUUGCAAUAGGAUCCGUCAUCCAGAUUCUAGGAAGCUGCAUUUCGGACAUUGUACUUUUUGAGCAAAACCUUCUUCUCAACGUCGGUGAGCGUAUGAUAUGGCUAUACCAGCUAGUGCGUCGCGAUGUUUACCGGAAGUCUACUUUCCUCUGGCAGCCUCAACACUGAGAACAAAGACUUUUAUCAGGAGGAUUGUUUUGCCAGCUUCUGUUAUUAUUGUCGUUAUCUUGCAGUUUUGUAAUGUAACUUGGUUUAAUGGACUUUUGUAAUAUUCCUUUGGAUAAUUGAGACCUCUUUUUUCUUUUU
Molecule: long non-coding RNA, 1955 nt
Organism: Lathyrus oleraceus (garden pea)
Lineage: Eukaryota; Viridiplantae; Streptophyta; Magnoliopsida; Fabales; Fabaceae
Exons: 3
Source: RefSeq, a predicted model, not a curated record